ACCUUCGUGGUGUAGUGGUGAGCACGCUCGUCAUGUAUUCGAGAGAUCCGUGGUUCGACUCCCGGCGAGAGCA
This 73-nucleotide transfer RNA is filed under the name Stegodyphus mimosarum. It matches the Rfam family "tRNA". From Rfam's summary of the family: Transfer RNA (tRNA) molecules are approximately 80 nucleotides in length. Their secondary structure includes four short double-helical elements and three loops (D, anti-codon, and T loops). Lineage: Eukaryota; Metazoa; Arthropoda; Arachnida; Araneae; Eresidae. The record is from Rfam by way of RNAcentral.